UACAGAGGGUGCAAGUGUUGUUCGGAAUUAUUGGGCGUAAAGCGCGCGUAGGUUGUUUAGUAAGUCGAAUGUGAAAGCCCUGGGCUCAACCCAGGAACUGCAUCCGAAACUGCUAAUCUAGAGUUUGGUAGAGGAGAGUGGAAUUCCCGGUGUAGAGGUGAAAUUCGUAGAGAUCGGGAGGAACACCAGUGGCGAAAGCGGCUCUCUGGGCCAAAACUGACGCUGAGGCGCGAGAGCGUGGGGAGCAAACAGG
Molecule: ribosomal RNA, 253 nt
Filed under: uncultured bacterium
Lineage: Bacteria
Description: partial 16S ribosomal RNA
Rfam family: Bacterial small subunit ribosomal RNA
Source: RNAcentral